RNAcentral lists this ribosomal RNA (229 nucleotides) under uncultured bacterium. RNAcentral's name for it is "partial 16S ribosomal RNA". It matches the Rfam family "Bacterial small subunit ribosomal RNA", at positions 568 to 796 of the family's 1533-position model. The record is from RNAcentral.
UCCGUAGGUGGAUAAUUAAGUCAGAGGUGAAAUCCUGCAGCUCAACUGUAGAAUUGCCUUUGAUACUGGUUAUCUUGAGUCAUUAUGAAGUGGUUAGAAUGUGUAGUGUAGCGGUGAAAUGCAUAGAUAUUACACAGAAUACCGAUUGCGAAGGCAGAUCACUAAUAAUGUACUGACACUGAGAGACGAAAGCGUGGGGAGCGAACAGGAUUAGAUACCCUGGUAGUCC